This 72-nucleotide transfer RNA is filed under the name Mesorhizobium sp. M8A.F.Ca.ET.021.01.1.1. Its description in RNAcentral is "tRNA-Gly". It matches the Rfam family "tRNA". From Rfam's summary of the family: Transfer RNA (tRNA) molecules are approximately 80 nucleotides in length. Their secondary structure includes four short double-helical elements and three loops (D, anti-codon, and T loops). Further hydrogen bonds mediate the characteristic L-shaped molecular structure. tRNAs have two regions of fundamental functional importance: the anti-codon, which is responsible for specific mRNA codon recognition, and the 3' end, to which the tRNAs corresponding amino acid is attached (by aminoacyl-tRNA synthetases). tRNAs cope with the degeneracy of the genetic code in two manners: having more than one tRNA (with a specific anti-codon) for a particular amino acid; and 'wobble' base-pairing, i.e. permitting non-standard base-pairing at the 3rd anti-codon position. The record is from RNAcentral. Lineage: Bacteria; Pseudomonadati; Pseudomonadota; Alphaproteobacteria; Hyphomicrobiales; Phyllobacteriaceae.
GCGGGCUUCUUCAAGAUGAGGCAACAGCCUUCCAAGCUGCCAAGGCGGGUUUGAUUCCCGCAGUCCGCUCCA